This 621-nucleotide ribosomal RNA is filed under the name Staphylococcus pseudintermedius. Its description in RNAcentral is "bacterial SSU rRNA". It matches the Rfam family "Bacterial small subunit ribosomal RNA", at positions 253 to 865 of the family's 1533-position model. The record is from RNAcentral. Lineage: Bacteria; Bacillati; Bacillota; Bacilli; Caryophanales; Staphylococcaceae.
UGGGGUAACGGCCUACCAAGGCGACGAUACGUAGCCGACCUGAGAGGGUGAUCGGCCACACUGGAACUGAGACACGGUCCAGACUCCUACGGGAGGCAGCAGUAGGGAAUCUUCCGCAAUGGGCGAAAGCCUGACGGAGCAACGCCGCGUGAGUGAUGAAGGUCUUCGGAUCGUAAAGCUCUGUUGUUAGGGAAGAACAAAUGUGUAAGUAACUGUGCACAUCUUGACGGUACCUAACCAGAAAGCCACGGCUAACUACGUGCCAGCAGCCGCGGUAAUACGUAGGUGGCAAGCGUUAUCCGGAAUUAUUGGGCGUAAAGCGCGCGUAGGCGGUUUUUUAAGUCUGAUGUGAAAGCCCACGGCUCAACCGUGGAGGGUCAUUGGAAACUGGAAAACUUGAGUGCAGAAGAGGAAAGUGGAAUUCCAUGUGUAGCGGUGAAAUGCGCAGAGAUAUGGAGGAACACCAGUGGCGAAGGCGGCUUUCUGGUCUGCAACUGACGCUGAUGUGCGAAAGCGUGGGGAUCAAACAGGAUUAGAUACCCUGGUAGUCCACGCCGUAAACGAUGAGUGCUAAGUGUUAGGGGGUUUCCGCCCCUUAGUGCUGCAGCUAACGCAUUAAGC